UUCGACCCGUUCGGUGGCUAAGCUUACGCGAUAAGUGAUCCGCCUGGGUAGUACGUUCGCAAGAUUAUUACUCAAAGGUAUAGUCGGGGACCCACACAAUCGGUGGAGCAUCUGGUUGAAUUCGAUAAUAAGCGGUAUACACUCACCAGGACUUGACAUCCCGAGAAGAUCGCAGAAAGGUGAUUGUGCCUUUAGGAACUCGUUGACAGAUGCUGCAUGAUGGUCGUCAGCUCGUGCCUUGAGGUGUUCGGUUAAGUCCGUAAACGAGCGCAACCCAUGUCCAUAGUUUGUAUGUUUCUAUGGAGACUGCCGGCUCUAAGUCGGAGGAAGGUAUGGAUGACGUCAAAUCAGCAUGGCCCUUAUGUCCUGGGCUACAAAGGUGCUACAAUGGACGAUACAAAAGGCAGCCAAGGAGUAAUCCGGAGCCAAUCCUUAAAGUCGUUCUAAGUUCGAAUUGAGGGCUGAAAUUCGCCCUCAUGAAGUUGGAAUCGCUAGUAACCGUAAAUCAGCAUGUUACGGUGAAUACGUUCCUGGGUCUUGUACUCACCGCCCGUCAAGUCACGAAAGAUGGGGGCGCCCAAAGUCCCUUUAGCAUAUGCGAGGGCCUAAGGCGAAACCAUUGAUUGGGA
RNAcentral lists this ribosomal RNA (629 nucleotides) under uncultured organism. RNAcentral describes it as "bacterial SSU rRNA". It matches the Rfam family "Bacterial small subunit ribosomal RNA", at positions 831 to 1480 of the family's 1533-position model. The record is from RNAcentral.